Non-coding RNA from Xyrichtys novacula (pearly razorfish), 12503 nucleotides. NCBI's taxonomy places the organism in Eukaryota, Metazoa, Chordata, Actinopteri, Labriformes, Labridae. The record is from the annotation of a GenBank genome assembly.
CCAGUUAUCACAGCAGUGAAGACCAGCUCCCAUUAUGAGCCUCAUUGAUCUGCAGAAGAGACAAUAUGUGCUGGAUUACAGAUGGCGUAUACAGUCUCUUCAAAUAAAGAAGCUGCAAAGACAACACUCGGCACAUUCAGGUGAUGUUUGUACUGCAGGAGUUACAACACCCAGUAACAGAAGAUCAUCAACCUUUUUCCUAAUUUCUGCUUCUGUGUCUAAAGGAAAUGAACUAAAUUUGUUUCUGAUGCCAGAAGAGGAAGAAGAGCUAGUCUGGUUUUCAUCUGUAAGGUAAAUGCUCACACAGCCGCACACAUUUUUGUAUUUGCACCAACAAAUCAAAGUCAGAAAUAUGUUAUAAAAAUAUCAUAAGAUUUAAUAAAUGCAUCUGGGUUUGAUUUGCUACUGAGCGCACCAUCAGUUGAAUAUGAAAACCUCUAAUUAUAAGUGAGGAUCUGGUACUUUUUCAGAAAUUUAAAUCAUUAUUGGUGUAUUUAAAAUUAUGUCUGAAAAGGAAAAGUGAAGAAUUAUGUAUGUCUAGCUGGGGGUUAUUCAGAUCAAAGUCUAAACUACCAACCAAAGACGUGGAGAAGUUGGCGCAAAAAAAAAUGUUGAUUUAAAGAUAAUUUUAUUGAUUCAAAAUGUGUCUAUUUUUCCUUUUGUAGAACUCAAAAAUGAGUCCCUUUGUCUUAUUGUGGGAGGAACUAACAUCAAAUGUACAUAUUAUUUUACAAUGGCUUAACCCAUUUAAGCCCACCGGCGACACUAGUCAGUGAAGAGCAAUACAAAUUAGUUAUACCAAAAGAAAGAAUUACUUAAAGGGGACCUGCCACCAAAAUUUCAUACCCAUUUUUAUCAUUUUUUCAUAAUCCUUGAUGUCCUCUGAUAAUGUUUGCAACAUAAUUUUAGCUGAAAAGUUAUUUGAUGGUUUGUUUUAGUAUGCCUAAAAAACCUUACAGGAAAACCAACUGGUUUUGGCUCAUUAACAUUUAUGGUAAUGAGCUUUGCUCUGAUUGGAUCGCUGCUGUGAAGCCUGCUGUGCUCUGAUUGGCUCAGCAGUGGAGGUUCGGAUUUCGGUUUAUCCCUUGUUAUUAUGCUAAUGCUAAUAGCAUAUGCUAAUGUGUGCUAAAGUAAGGUACCCAGAUGUCUUUAAUGAUAUCCAGGGAUAUUCGAUGCGGCGGCGGCGGUGCAGGGGCUGCAGGGGCUGUGUGAUCACAGACAAAGUCUCGGUACUAUUUAGUAGCAGCGCAUGCCCCUUGUAAUAACCCCCGUAAGAACUGUUGUUCAGGACUGCUAACUUGUGCUUCCUACCUAUUCGGCUACUGUAAUAACCAUUGUUCGAGCCCACACGCAACAUUUUUGCUCUCAUUAAUGAAACGCUUAAAUCGGGGACAUUUUCGGGGACAGCUUUUGCCGGGGACAGGUCAUCCAAUACGGGGACUGUCCCCGGAAAUCGGGGACGUCUGGUCACCUUAUGCUAAAGGCUAAAAACGGCAGGUAUUAAACCAUAUAUUUUAGACCCCGAGUCCGAAGAGGAGGUGGAAGUUGAGGAAGAAGCCGGAGACCUCCAGCGGUGUUUUCUCAUUCAUUCUGCCCGACUUUAAGUUCAUUUUCCCGGCAGUGAACCGAAGUAAACACCGGUUGUUUGGAAGAGACCCAUAGCGGAUACAGUGGUAGCUGGGUCUCGCUCUGGCUGUGACUGAGUACGAGAACGAGAGAGUGGGCACGGCUCACCGAGGACGCGCUCGUGAAUAAUAAUGAGCAAGGUCGGCGCAACGUAACACCGACAGGCUUUUUCAAUUGGCCUGGUUUACUCGUUCCUUUAUUUUAAACCUUUACAGAAUGCAAACGACGUAACGGUUUGUUUUCACAUUUACAACAUAAGACGAACAUAAUAUGGACCUUAUCUGACACAAAAAAAAACAAAAAUUACAUUUUUAUGGCAGGUCCCCUUUAAAGAAAAUUAUACUUAAAAGUAAUACAUGAUUAAAAUAAAACAUUUAGCAUAUUCAUUGCAAUAGGCAUGAAAAAAGCUUUGGCAUCUUUCUGAAUCAGCGUCCAAAGGGAAGAAGGUGAAACUCCAAAAAAAGAAAGGUCAGAUCAUGGCAGAUAGUCUCUGCUUAGCAUAUUUAAUGACAAAAAUAGCAAAGUUUCAUUAAAAUGUAUUCAUAUAUCAUCACAGAUUACUUUAGGUUUUGGAGUAUUGGAUCCAGACCAAAAAAAUCAUGUCUCUGUGUUAUUCCCAAAUGGAUGAAAGAAUACCACCUACAGCUCAACUUCAGUCUAAGACUGAGCUCCUUGUCAUUCCAGCCAGUCCUUCCUUACAACCACAGAUUACGUUUCAGAUCCAGUUUAGAUCAAAUUAACUUGUGCCCAAUUAGUCUACUUAGAAUCUGGAUGUCAUGAUUGAUGACCAACUAUCCUUCAAGGCUUAUGUCUCGACCCUGCCAGUUCACUCUCUAUAACAUUAGAAGGAUCAGGCCCUACUUGGCAGAGCACACAACACAGCUCCUUGUCCAGGGUCUUAUACAGUAAUUGUAUGCAUUGACUACUGCAACUCCUUACUGGCAGGCCUCACUGAAUGCACAGUCAAACCUCUGCAGAUGAUCCAAAAUGCAGCUGCCAGUCUGGUUUUCAACCAACCCAAAACAACAUUUCACUCUGCCGUUCAUCUUUCUUGAACCACUUCUUGCUGACAAAACUGCAACUUAACCAGCUCCCACAGGUCUGCACUCCCUCUGCAAGCUACACUCUUCCAAUGAAAGGCGCCUGAUGCCCCCAUCACGACAAAGCCUGAAGUCACUACCCAGACUGUUUUCCUCUAUCAGCACUUCAAAACCCUAUUAGAUCUGUGGAGACCCUUUCUACCUUAAAGAUAAAGCCCAAGACUCAGCUCUUUACAAUACAACACAAUACAACAACUGUAUUUAUCCCACAAGUGAAAUUCAUUUGUCUGGAAUCUCAUGAUUUUUUCUUCUCUGGAAGGAUAGUUAAACUGUGUAAAUCAAGUCAGAUGAGAAGAGAGGGGAACAUGGUUAAAAUCUCCUGGUACAAGUGCCUUAGGAUGCUGAAUCUGUAUCCUAGCAACAGUAACAUGGAGAAUACAUGUAGUAUUGUUAUGAUAUGGCUGAACUCCCUUGGAACAAAAUAUGAAUGAGGAGGAACUACCAACAGUUCAAUAUCUGGAGAUCACAUCCUUCUUCUUUAGGUGUUAAGAGUUACACCAUCUUUGGUUGACAAAUAAAGCCAGACCUUCUCCUUUCUUCUUGCCACUAACUUUAGUAUCUCUGUCUGACCUUAUGAGAGUGAAGCCAGGUACAUCCACACUGGAGUCCGAGUUGCUUUGAUUCUACCAGGUUUCAGUAAAACACAGGAGACUGCACGCACGGUAUGCUUCCUCAGUCUUAAUCAAUAUAGCCAGCCCGUUGCUUUUGUUGGGCAGAGAGUUGAUGGAAGAAAGGGUAUAUAUCUCCACUUCCUAGCCUUCAACUUUGCCCUCAUCUGUGCACCAGCACGGCAACCACAAUAACACCUCCUGAUGCCCUCUGGAAUUGGAUGUUGUCAUCCACAUUUGCUCUGUCUCAAUGAAAGAAGAUCUUCUCUUGAGCAAACUCCUCUCCCAAUAGUAAUAUCCAUCAGCAGCCAUUAAAACUACAAAAAAAAUAGAGCAAAAAGUGCAGAAAGCUCAGCUCUUCUCAUCUGUUGUCCCCAGUGAUAGAAUGACUGAAACAAAUGAUUUAAACAGUCCCCUUCUACUUCUUGAUCCACUUUUUGAUCCGUCUCUGAAUAGCUCUGGACUUAGUGUACCGAAUAAUGAUAAUAAUGAUAUUAAUGAUAAUGGUGGUACGAUUAUAGUGAUGACAAUGAGGAUGUUACAGUGCCAUUGUGACUGUAUAUGGAAGGUGCCUCACUUUAGUUGAUGAUGACGAUGAUGACGAUGAUGAUGGUGGUGAUGAUAAUGAUGAUGAUGGUGGUGAUGAUGAUGAUGAUGAUUUGAUACCCAAAAAGAAAAAGGUGAGUUACCUUAUACACUGCAUGACAGCAGUACUUGAUGCAGUUUGAAGCACUUCAUGCUGUUUCCUUCUGUCUAGAUCUUUGAUUGUGUUGUUCUUAUUCAUAAAUUUAAGCUUUUUUUUCUCUUCCUUUUUUUUUUCACUUUACAGAGCCAUCUCUGCAAAAUAACCUGAGCUUAGAGACACAUAUACAUGUAGUGUUUCACUAACUGUGUUGUUUAGGGUCGACCAAGGUCAUAUAUUUUUUUAUGUUAUGUUGUUCAUGCAGUGUGUUCUUACAUCUCUGUUUUAAUAGAGAUGUCAGCCAAAAUUCCUGCAUAAAUAAAUAUUAACUAAUUAACGUAUCUCUUUCCAUUUGCCUGAAGAGCUCUUGCUUUUAAUUAGAAGAGAUGAGGAUAGCGUUUCCUUGUACCAUCACUUUUAAUGAUAAAGAACAGCUUCACUAAGUUUAAGAUCCAUCACAUUCUGUCAUUUUUUUCUCUUUGUUUAUGCUUAAGGAUUUUUUUUUCGUCCCGAAUAGCAGCUGUAAAGUAUGCACUUUAUGAACUGUACUGAUAAAACAUUAAAUCCACACAUGGUUCUAAUCAAAUGUAAACGCUCAGUGUGUUGAGGCGGGGAUCACAUAUGAAAUCCAGGCCAAGUUUUGGACUGACUCCCCUCUUCCACCAAAAGUCAGCAAAGGCCUGAUUAACACAGAUAUACUCAUCCUCCUAUACCCUUCUGACUACGCCCUAUCAUUCUACUGCCCUGUGCCCUGGCAGCUUGAGCUGCAUGCUCUAGCUCCACCAUGGAAAUACACUCUACCGCUCGUCUACUGAUUUAGGGAAUAUGCUCUACCUCCCCAACCCUACUUAUUCAGUCUGUAUGCUCUGCCUUCUCUAUCACACCGAUUCAGUCCAAGCGCACUACACCCUACCCUGCUAAUUUAGGGUUAAUACUCUACCUCCUCUCCCCUGCUGAUUAAGGAUGUUAGCUGUUCCUCCCCUUCCUAACCAAUAAAGUCCAUAUGCCUGCUUUGCUAAUCAAGUCUGUGUGCUCAAACUCCUCCACCUGCUGAUAUUAGCUCAAGGCUUUAAGUUUCAUACACCACCAGUUCGAGCUGUACACUCGACCUCCCCUACUUUUCCAAUACACCCCAGAUCAGUGUUUGAAUCUGACUGAGUGAAAACUGCUUUGCUGCUGUAAACACUGCUCUGUUUGCUUUCUCUUGUCCUGCUUUCUUGCACUUCUACUCCAUCUUGGCUCUGGUAUUCUGGAGUCCUCUGCAGCAGAUACACAUGGCCUUAACUUUUACCAGUGCCAGGCCACAAAGCAUCAAUCAGCACAGGGCAGAUCUUGGGAGACAAAAAGUCAGACAGUGACACAACAUUAAACAUUUGGUUAAUUUCCUAAAUAAAAUGCUGCAUAGCCACAUAACUACUAAAACCCAUUAUUGUGAGCAAAGCCACAUGUGACAUCAACAGGUCAGAGGUUUUACAGAGCUCAUUGUGAAGGUAGAAAAACAUAAUUUGACACAGGAAAGCUUUGGUCUUGUGACUUCCACUGUCAGCCUUUCAGUGUUGACGGACAAGGGGUCAUAAAGGCAAACCAGUUUGAAGCUGAGACAAACUGAAUAUUGGUCUGGCUGGCAAUAGACUCUACCACCUCAUACUCUGCUUUAUGGCGAAUGAGAAAAAAAAAAAGAGAGAUCACAAGUAUGAAAGAAAAGGUAAAAAAAUAAAAAGUUAAAUUCUUGUUUAAUUUGAAUUCAAGGCAGAGAGAGGGAUGCAGACUUCUUUGUAUAACCUUUUAUCAGACAAUGAAAAGCAAUAAAACCCAGCGUAAAAACACCUCUCAGUACUGAGUGUACCAGUUUUGACACAAAGACAGACAGUAAUGUUCACAGCCUCUUAGAUUUCCAUCUCGAUUCAUGUAGCUUGAAUUAUUCGUGCCCUUCAAAUGCCAAACACCUCCCUGCGAUGCGAGGCUUCAGCCUUCAUUCACUUGCUCUACCUGCAAAUCACCACGCUGUCACACCUGAAACCAUGGCAACAGGCAUCACAGUCUCCAAAUGCACUCAGGCGUACAAACAUAUGAGACUUAUCAUGAUGCAUUUGCCUGCAUAUUAACAUUCCUUUAUUUUAGGAUUAGUCAGUGCUGCAGGUAGAAAUAACACAGGCGGAGUAACCUGCUGUAUUCACAACAGGGGAGGCUGAAGGAUUGUUUAUGAUGCACCAAUACUGCCUGAUAUACAGGUACGGCUGACUGUUUUUCCAGCUUAUCAUCAAUAAUGAAAGCAAAUGCUAUGUCUUAUAUGACCAUAAAUCACAGACAAGAAAAAGAUCAGACUUAAAGUAGCUAAUAAAAACAAAUCUGAGAAUGGCCUUGUAAAGCUCCAAACCCACAGGAUGUGUGUUGGGCGUGUCCUGUUACCGUGCUUGGAGCAGAGUAGCAGCUUGGCCCAGCUCUGUGCAGCUGGACUCCGUUUACAAAAAACAAUGUGCUCAUAAUUAGUUGCUUUGCCUUCCUGUGGUCGAUUCCCUGCUAAUUUGAAUAUAAUUCUGGGAAUGUUGUGUUUCUACCGAAUAUGAACAAGCAAUGUGAUUUUAAAGUUUGGAUUUUUGCAGUUUUAGCUAUGUUAGGUAUGUUCCACUUUGCUGUGCUGUUCCCUUCAGAGAGAGUUCCCAGUUAGAAGUCCUGUUGUGGUCCACAUGAAUCAGAAAUUGACACUGGGGUUGUUCGAUAGACUGUAUAUAGAAUGGAUGCCAUCUGCCUCCUCGCUGGGUCUAGCCACUCUGAGAACAGCACACUCUGGUGACGGGCUGCAGUAUAGGUCAUAAAUCCCGCCUCCUCCAGCAAAGUUUAUGGAGCUGUGGACAAACUUUAGAAAUUAAUUACACAGAAUAUAAAUGUUUCUCCCACCUGGUGCGAUGUUGACAUGUGGUUACUGUAAGACUGAUUUGUGCUCAAAUCCUCGUUUUUCUGUACAGCUCCAUUUUUAAGUUAUUAGGGGUUCAUGUUUUCUAUGAUUGUGGUAUAUUUCAUAGAUACAAAGGUGCAAAAAUGAACUACACAAAGACAGAAUCAAGCUGGCAGCCUCUCGCGGGAUUUGAUUUUAGUUACAGCAUCAAACACAGCUCAUGACAAUCAGACGGACAAUGCUAUUGCGCAAGUGAUUACGUGCAAUGUUGGUUUCAGGAAAUGGAGAAAAGUCGCGGAAAUGCAGAGAGGUUUUCAGCUUCAAAUCCAUAUACUGGCGAAAGGUGGAACCAAGUUGUCCAUAGUAUAUACAGUCUAUGGGUUGUUCUGUGUUAAUAAAUCCAGAACCAGGAAGUUUUUCUCAUCUACACGAUCUAAUAAACAGUCUGGAGUCCUACAAUGGUGCGACACAUACUGUGUGCAAUGCUGCAUUGAUAAGAAUGAAAAUGUAUUUACUGCGUAGCACCCAACUUUAAUGAAAAACACCCGACAUGAAUCCUGUGGGUUUUAGGCUCAAAACUGUACUGCUGCAACCAAACCAUACUUGCACAGAAAAAAAUACAUGAGCUUCAUUGGGUUUAUGUUGUCCACAACUUCUUACUUGUGUUAAAUACUGGAUUCUGAUUGGUCGAAACCCCAUAACAACUAUGAAUAAUUCAAGGAACAAAGAAGUGACACUCGGGACAUCCCGAUCACAUACCUCUAAUCUCACCCUGUCUUGACCUUGUUGCAUUUUCUUGUUGGACUGCCUGAUCCCUCACAGUAUUGUGGUUUGUUUGUGAAUCUAUAAUUGACUCACUGUGCUAUAACAGUUUUAAGAUUAGAUGAAGUGCCAACAAAUUAGGUAUGGUUUUAUUAUUUGAUGUCAACGAUUUUACGUUCAUGAGAAAACUUUUGAUAGGAUUAUUCAAAUGUGAUCCUGCAGAUCAUUCUUUGAGUUUUUGUUUCAGUGCAAUAUGAAUUAAACAUCACAGGUGAUAACAUUAAUAUGCUCUGGGUGCAUUAGCAAUCCCACGUUUGCUGUCCUCUGUUGAAUCAUUUUUUCAUUGUUACUACACUCCUUCACGGAGGAGAGAAAGACUUACAUUAAACAGGAAAAAAUACCUUCAGAGUACAUCUUACAGCCUGAUCCAUCCUCCACAGCCUCACAAGACUAAUUUGGAUUCAGUAAUAAUUCAAAAUGCCACUAAAUGACUCAUACAAUGUGAGCGCGGGACAGUAUUGACAAGGGGAAUGUUUAAUUAUGAUAAGCAAGGAAAAUCAAAUUCAUCAUUUAAGAAUUUUAAUUGAUUAAUUCAAAUCAUUUUCCCCUUUACUGCUGCAGAUAGGGAGCGGAUGCCGAAAGGAAUAUGAGGAGAAUUAUGAAAUGAAGCCUGUGCAUUUGAAAUGAAUGAUGUAUUAGUUUAGGGGAGAUUGGAAAGACUCUUUUGUCCGCACAGCCACAGUUACCAGCAGUGAUUACACAACCAUUUUACUGACAAUCCAUCCUCCUCCAUUCAAAGUGCACCGUUGAUUAUGCAUUUUUAGUAUUUUAUCGUCGUUAUGAAAGGUUCUUGAGUUUAAUUCACAGGCUGCAGAUCAUUCUCAUUAACACAUACAUCAUAAAAAAUAUAUAACAUAUGAUUGUCAAACCCUUUUCCGAACAUUUCUCUGAGAUUUCCUCAUUAUUAUUCAUGAUUAUCGAAGCUCAGAUUCCCAAGAGUAAACCCUCAUUAAAACACCAACACUGAUGGGAAUUCAAAGACAGAGAAGGAGUAGCUGCUGAGUCUGUUCGGUCUUUGCACUCAUUUUAUUUUGGGCAUAAUCUCUGUUUUUUUAUGCACCAGUUUAUGACAAAUGUUACGUUUCAACAAUGUGCUCUGUUCUUUUAUCAGAGAUAUUUUAAAUACUCUGUCAGUUUUAAUGAAAGCACAUGCCUUGGAUUAUAAAUUGGUCUUCAGUCCGGAAGCCUGGAACUACCAAUGUUUGGUUAAAAGCUGGCCCAAAUUGAGUGUGUUUACAUGAUCAAAACUCAUCAGAUAACAAGCAAAAAUCUGUGUUUGGCAUAGAUUUUAGGGAGCUUAGGGAGGGGAGGUCUGAAGAUUCACCAGAAGAAUAGUGUUUUUUUAUUUUUAUUUCUUCCGCAAAGAUGGAUGUGUUCAGGCUGUGACCCCUCAGAAGCACAGGGAAUAUUGUUCAGUCAUGUACGGCUGAGCUAGAGCAGUUUCAUAUUUGAUAGGGAAACAUUAUGGGCUCUAUUUUCGUGCGCGCCGGUGAGGCGGCGGAAGGCGGCGAGCCCCGCGCAGUUGUAUUUUCGUCUGGCGGAGCCCGGCGUAAGGCCAGUGUGGUAUUUUCGUGGACUGAGCCGCACGGAGGCGAGCCGAGAUCCGCCAAGCUGGGCGUGGUGGCGUGGCAGGGGGAGGUGUCGACAGAAUCAGCUGGCGCAGUGACAUUUUCGUGCUUGCCACCGGCGUGUAAAGUGCGCUGAAAGCUCGCCGAUUCAAACCUGGACAGCUUUCAGCGCAUGGCGGAGCGCAGCUGGUCUAGUGGUAUUUUGGUAGACCAGCGGCGUAUCGACAUACGUCACUGAUGCCUCACCGGCAGGUUUCCACAGUGUCAGACACAUUUCAGUGCAAUAAAUAAUCAUCAACAACUAUUAAUCUGAGUCAGCACAUACAUUUAGAUCUAUAUAGAUAUAUUCUGAUCUAUAUGUGAUCUGAUGAGCGCGUUUGGCACGCGUUUGGACACACAACCUGACCGAAUCAACACAGCUGAAACCGCAUCAAAUUAAAUUAAAUAUCUAGUAAAUAAACACACAUGAUGAAGUUAACAAGAUAUGUAAUGUGUCUCCCUCCUUUUCUUUCUUCCUCUUCCUCUUAUUUCUCGCACAGCUCGACCUGGACAUGUCUCCGUGUCCUCUGUCCGUCUUGCUGCUGCUGCGGCUGAACAGAUGAUUUGUUUCAGUGCUCAGAUGCGUGAUCUACUUUAAGCCGACAUACGGAUAUUAUAAUAUUCAGUUUUGUGGGCCAAAUUUAUUUUAUAUGCCAACAUCUAUGAAAGACAGAGCCAGGCCACGGAGCGCGAUGCGUCAUUUACGCACAGAUGGUUCCGAUUUUAAUGCCAUUUUUGGAGUUUAUGUUGUGAUCUGUGCGCUCAACCCACCUUUGUCACGUGAGGUUUGAAUAUAUGCAACUUUAUUUGAGUGUCUUUAUUUGUGGAAAAGGGUGUUUGUCUUACCAGUGGGUCCAACAUUACACACACCAAAUCCAUCUGCGCUUAUAUGAGAGGGUGUGGAGGACACUUGUUGAGGAGCUGCCCUCUGUCGCCAUCUUGUGGCAUUACUGUCUUCAGACAUCUCUUGAUCUCUUUGACUACUUCAUGAAAAUAGUAAUACGCCUCGCCUGUGGCAGAUUUAAAGGCAAGGAGAGGAGCUUAUGUGAUUGGUGAAAACAGGUCUCGGCUGUGUUAAACCCACUACACGCCCUCUCUCCUCCCCAUCUACGACUUAUGGUGCUGGGAGGAGCUGAGUUAGGGAGGGGGGAUACUUACGCCGGGCUGCGCGGCUCACCAAAAUACCAAAAUGUGCUUGGGAACGCCUUGUCAGCGCGGCGGAUCUGACUGACGCUGCGCUUGCGGCACGUCUCGAGGCACCAAAAUAGAGCCCUAUAAGGAACCAUGCUGACCACACCCUCUGAUGAAACUCAAAGUGUUUUGUGCACAUCAAGAGCAACAUCUUAAAAUAUGUUACCAAAAAAAAAAAAUGAUGCAGAUAUGUUUGAUGGUCUCAGAGAUUUAGUUAAUAGAAUACUGCAAGAUGUUUCCUCCCUCUUUCCAAGAUGCGCUGUAACUGUGAUGAAAUAUGACCAUAUAGAUGUGUUAAGGUGUUGACCACCAUCAUGCAGGGUGAGUUUGGGUCAGAUUGGAGCAUGCAUGGCAAAGAAAAAUACUACUUCCUGCCUGAUGACAAAACACCGGAUUUUAAGUCUUUGGGAACCACGUGUAAGAAAAGUCAGCUUUCUAGGUGAAACUGCUGGGAGAGGCAGUAUUUUCAAAAAUUACAGGGGGCACUAGUGAGUCAAUUAUCCCUGUCCAAUUUUUAAAACCUAUAAAAUGUAACAAUUUUUUCCUAGACCCAAUAGAUGUGCAUACUUUUAUGAGUUGUUAAGCAUGUGAAGGCCCUCAAAACUGCCACGAAAGACACAGAAUCAAAGUUAUUUUAUUCAGGUCCUCACACCUACUUGGUGCUCUGGUACAAUAAUAAUAAUAAACCUUAUGCAUACGGCAAAAUUGGUUUACAAAGUGUUUGAAAUGUCAAAAGAAAAGAAUAGACAAAUGUGGGAGUACAAUUUCCAAAAUUGUAAAAGUUUUGACAAUGAUGAUUCAAGAUCGGAGGUAUGAGUCAUAGACAGAUAGAUGGAAAGGGUAAGAAAAUGAAAUGAUCAGAAGAUUGUAAAAAAUCACAAUAUUUCAACUUUCCUAGAUUUAGUAGCGAAAAAAUAUAUAUGUAUAUAUAUAUAUAUAUUUGUUAACUACUGAUGCAUUGACAAAAAUGUCCAUGUCCUUAACAGUUUAUCUGUUUACUCUGUUUAAACUUAAAGCUGUCUUUAAUCAUUGAUUAUAGAGCAGACUAAAAUAAACAGAAAUGUUCGUCUGUAAUGCAGAAAAGUAAAUGAUACAAAUAACAAUUACUGUUUUAUAAAUUUCAGUACCUUAAACUUCUAUGAGGGCGCAGGUGAGCUAAAUAAACAUCAUGUUUCACUGUUAGACAUUCUUAGUGAGUGACACAUUUCUCUGUGAAAAGACACAAGGAGGAGAUUUUUGUCAAUUAACACAACUUUCACAUGGUUGAAAUGAAACCAGCAUGAUUAAAAAAGUACUAGUUUGUCCACAGGGGGCACUAGAGUCAACCUGGAAAGUUCCUCACAAGAGCUGUAAAAGAAUGACAUGAUUGUUGUAGCCUAGCCAGUCAGGCAGUCUGUCCCUCCUCCUGCCGUGACAGAGAAGAUCCCAACACAAAGAUUUAAUCCAUGAAGAUUGACUAAUCUCUUCAAAUCUACAGGCCGUAUCUUGGGUUGAUCUAUCUUCUCAUCUUCCCAGUUUGGAUCCUUCUUCUUUCUUGGGUAAACAGAUGAUUCUAGAGGUUCGGCCCUAAGAGCCAAGGCAUUCAUGACCAACAGGAACUCCCCACGAUAUUGAAGACAACUGACUGUCUGCUGCAACCCAGCUGUGAAAUCAGGUAAGGCUAAAAUGACAGAAGUAAUUGCUUUUGAUAACUGUAAUCUAAGUCCAUAUCCCUCAUUUUAUUAGGAGUGUCUACAAUGUUGUUUGACAUUUCUUUCUUCUUCUUUUUCUCUGUCCAUUUCCACCCCUGCUGGCAUUCUUCACUCAUGCAGAUGUAACAGAAAACAAGAAACCAGAUUUUGCUUAACACAGGCAACUAAUGAAUCACAUUUUGGGGUAAAAACCUAGGUGUGUUCAGAUUUAUAUUAAUCUGUGGAUGAUUUUUCUUCUAUGAUGUCAGAUCACUCUGCGUACAUGACUUCAGUGAUCAGG